RNAcentral lists this ribosomal RNA (460 nucleotides) under uncultured bacterium. RNAcentral describes it as "partial 16S ribosomal RNA". It matches the Rfam family "Bacterial small subunit ribosomal RNA", at positions 338 to 795 of the family's 1533-position model. The record is from RNAcentral.
CCUACGGGCGGCAGCAGUGAGGAAUAUUGGUCAAUGGACGCAAGUCUGAACCAGCCAUGCCGCGUGCAGGAAGACGGCUCUAUGAGUUGUAAACUGCUUUUGUACGAGGGUAAACGCAGAUACGCGUAUCUGUCUGAAAGUAUCGUACGAAUAAGGAUCGGCUAACUCCGUGCCAGCAGCCGCGGUAAUACGGAGGAUUCAAGCGUUAUCCGGAUUUAUUGGGUUUAAAGGGUGCGUAGGCGGUCGGAUAAGUUAGCGGUGAAAUCCCGGGGCUCAACUUCGGAAUUGCCUCUGUUACUGUUCGGCUAGAGAGUGGUUGCGGCAGGCGGAAUGCGUGGUGUAGCGGUGAAAUGCAUAGAUAUCACGCAAAACCCCGAUUGCGAAGGCAGCUUACUAAGGCAGAACUGACACUGAAGCACGAAAGCGUGGGGAUCAAACAGGAUUAGAUACCCUGGUAGUC